Molecule: ribosomal RNA, 491 nt
Filed under: uncultured bacterium
Lineage: Bacteria
Description: partial 16S ribosomal RNA
Rfam family: Bacterial small subunit ribosomal RNA
Source: RNAcentral
AGUGAACGCUGGCGGUAUGCCUAACACAUGCAAGUCGAACGGCAGCACACUAAGAGCUUGCUCUUACGGGUGGCGAGUGGCGGACGGGUGAGGAAUACAACGGAAUCUACAUUUUCGUGGGGGUUAACGUAGGGAAACCUACGCUAAUAUCGCAUACGACCUUCGGGUGAAAGCAGUGGAUCUUCGGACCUUUCGCGAUUGAAUGAGCCGCUGUCGGAUUAGUUAGUUGGCGGGGUAAAGGCCCACCAGGGCGACGAUCCGUAGCCGGGGUGAGUGACUGAUCAGCCACAGUGGAACUGAGACACGGUCCAGGGUCCGAGGGGAGGCAGAGGUGGGGAAUAGUGGAAGAUGGGCGGAAGACUGAUCCAGCCGUGCCGCGCUGGUGAAGAAGGCCUUCGGGUGGUAAAACCCUUUUGUGGGGAAAGAAAGGCAGCAGGUUAAAACAACGCUGUUCUGACGGUACCCAAAGAGUAGGCACCGGCUAACUUCGU